GGAGAGGGAGGGGGGGAAGGCGGGAGGAAAGGAGGGAAUUAGGGAGGAAGGAAAGAAGGGAAAGAAGGAGGGAAGGAAGGAAGCGGAAAGCUUGACAGAUUCAUGAAUGAAGUUUAAAUGAUCUGGUGGCCUGCCAAAUGGAAUUGGACCUGACUCUAUUCCACUUUUACCAUCUCUACAGGAAUGAAAACAGUGAUCAGAAGGGACAGCUCGGGUAGUUUUUUUUAAUAUUUUUCAUAAAAAUGACAGAUACUUACCGCCUAUUGAUUUUGUAUUUUUGUUUUCUUGUACAGAGCUAUGGAUCUGCACAGAGAUGGUGUUGGAAUUGAAAAGCAGGUUUUGUAUUCGUGUCUCCUGUGUACCCUACCUCAGCGCAUGGCAGCCAUGCGGGAUGUCUUUCUGGUGUCCUACCUGCAGAGGUGGGCAGGACCCCUUGCCAUCCUGACUUCUCCCUCAGUCCCAGCUGGGGUGCCUUAAGAGCAGUGCAGGAGCACCCACAGCUACAGCACUGUCCGUUCUGGAGCUUGCCUCCCCUGCAUCCCUGGGGUCAGGCCACGUUGUGCUGCUCUGUACAGCCUGCUUGCAGUGAAACAGAAACAUGUACAGCAUAUGCUCACUGACUGCCUUGCAGAGUGCUUCUUCUGGAAUUAUGGAAAAGGCACAGAAGGAAAAUAGUGCAUCUAACAAAGUGCUCGUGUGAUGCAGCUGUAUCCGUUCUUAAUCUUCCAUUAAUGCUUCAUCGUAAGAGUACUGUACUUUCCGUUUGUUUCAUUUACCAAAGGUCAGCAUACUCGGAAGCUAUUGUCAUAGAGCAUUACAGACUUUCUACAUAUUUCUCUGGUAUUGUUCCAAGCAUUCGUAUGCGCGGAUGAGUCAAUUGGUAUGCAGAUUGUCUAUCAUUAAAACCAUUUCAAAAUCA
This is a long non-coding RNA of Gallus gallus (chicken), 919 nucleotides long. RefSeq lists it as uncharacterized. Lineage: Eukaryota; Metazoa; Chordata; Aves; Galliformes; Phasianidae. The record is from RefSeq and is a predicted model, not a curated record. The transcript has 2 exons.